This 451-nucleotide ribosomal RNA is filed under the name uncultured bacterium. RNAcentral's name for it is "bacterial SSU rRNA". It matches the Rfam family "Bacterial small subunit ribosomal RNA", at positions 8 to 507 of the family's 1533-position model. The record is from RNAcentral.
AGAGUUUGAUCCUGGCUCAGAGCGAACGCUGGCGGCAGGCCUAAACAUGCAAGUCGAACGGAUCCUUCGGGAUUAGUGGCGGACGGGUGAGUAACACGUGGGAACGUGCCUUUGGUUCGGAACAACUCAGGGAAACUUGAGCUAAUACCGAAUGUGCCCUUCGGGGGAAAGAUUUAUCGCCAUUAGAGCGGCCCGCGUCUGAUUAGCUUGUUGGUGAGGUAAAGGCUCACCAAGGCGACGAUCAGUAGCUGGUCUGAGAGGAUGAUCAGCCACACUGGGACUGAGACACGGCCCAGACUCCUACGGGAGGCAGCAGUUAGGAAUCUUGCGCAAUGGGGGAAACCCUGACGCAGCCAUGCCGCGUGAAUGAUGAAGGUCUUAGGAUUGUAAAAUUCUUUCAGCGGGGACGAUAAUGACGGUACCCGCAGAAGAAGCCCCGGCUAACUUCGUG